GGCCUGUUGGUGAAGUGGCUUAACACAUUACCCUCUCAAGGUAACAUUCACGGAUUCGAAUUCCGUACAGGCUACCA
Molecule: transfer RNA, 77 nt
Filed under: Bacilli bacterium
Lineage: Bacteria; Bacillati; Bacillota; Bacilli
Also listed under: 1 other name
Description: tRNA-Glu
Source: RNAcentral